Molecule: long non-coding RNA, 3120 nt
Filed under: Sus scrofa (pig)
Lineage: Eukaryota; Metazoa; Chordata; Mammalia; Artiodactyla; Suidae
Description: lncRNA (ENSSSCG00055017114.1)
Source: RNAcentral
CAGUGGAAACAAACCCAACUAGAAACCAUCAGGUUGCAGGUUUGAUCUCUGGCCUCGCUCUGUGGGUUAAGGAUCCAGCGUUGCCUUGAGCUGUGUGUAGGUCCAGAUGUGGCUCGGAGGCCACAUUGCUAUGGCUGUGGUGUAGGCUGGCAGCAGUAGCUCUGAUUUAACCUCGAGCUUGGGAACUUCCAAAUGCCAUGGGUGUGGCCCUAAAAAGCAACAAAUAAAUAAAUGAAAUUAAAAUAGCCACAGGCAAUUAAUUAAUACUUGCUCUCAUUUCUUCUAGAAGUCUCUGAUAGUGAUUCUAGAAAGGCCUGUGUAAGAAAUGAAAGUGAAGUCACUAAUUCUACAAAAGCUUGUCUGAAAGAUGAAAGCAGUAAGUUUCAUAUAUGCCUGUCUUUAUGUCAUGCUAGAGCACUGUCUUCCUCUGGCUAAACAUAACUUUUAAAUAUUCCUGGUUUAAGGUAAAAAGCCAGAAUGUCUGCAUAUUUAAGAGUAGACUGGUAAUAUUUUAAAGUCGAUCCAUCAUUUCCUAGCAGUAAUCUUAACACAGUAAAUACAUAUGAGAUGACUGUAAAUCAGAGUUGCAGUGACAGACUCUGAAUUAUUUCAUCAACGAGCUGCCUUCAUUUUGGUGGCUUGGGUUUCAAAUGACCGAGCAAAAAUGAUACCAAGUCGCCUCUGGAUUUCCUUAAGGCUUUGGACACUGCUAGCAGCUAGUGAGCUAAACUGACACUUACUGAGAGCUUCGCUGUAUGUGAAGCUCUUCAUUAUAUGCAAAAGCCUUGUACUGUGUUUCUUAUAUAUUAUCAGUGUGAUUUUCAUAAUACUCCUAUGAAGAUGUAUAUAAUUUUGCCCCUUUUUAAAAAUUAGGGCAAUGAACCAAAAUUAAGUCCCUGGUACCAAGCCACACAGCCAGAUAUGGGGUUUCAGCCUGGGCCAUUUGAAUUUCUCCUCAAUUGUCUGUAUCAAGACAUUGAUACAGAGCUAGAAAUCCCAAUGCUCUGGCCUCGAGACAAGAGGAACACAUGGGUGGGGUUGUAAGUAUACGAGCUUCUGACUAUCACAGGCUAGACUUCAAACUCAGUUCCCUUAUUGUUCCCUGCAUGAAAAUGGGUAAAUUACUUCUAUGUCUGAGCAAGACUGGUAGAACAGGGAACAAAGACACUUAAGUCUGUUCUUGAAGAAAAGCUCACAUGUGUAUAUCAUGAAUUGUCUAGAAUAAGGUAUCCAUUUCGCCAGCACAGAGUCAGUACUAGGUGGUGGCCCUUUCUGCCUGUGUGGGACGUUCUAAGCGAACUGAGAUGCACUGGCUCUGGUCCUGCUGAUCCUUCCUCCAGGCCCAGUAUCGGGGGGCCUGGAACUCAGUGGCCAUCUGACCACGGGCAGUGGGUUAUGAGCACAUCACCUCCUGAUCCCGUUCCACACCAAGUGCUAAUGAUCCCGGAGUUCUGACUCUAUGAAGAUGAAGCAUGGAAAAGGGACAUUUCCGGGAGAACAGACUCAACCUUGUGGUUUGUUCAUUCAGGAGCCACACCUGCCCCACCAUCACUGUUGGUAAUUAUUUCUUGAAAACAUAUGUUUCUUAUAAAAUUUCAAAGGAGAGUAAGUGCAAUUGUCUUAUAACAUCACAGCCACAAUGAGAGACAUUCAAGACACAGAGGUGACUGAGGCAUGAGCUCCUAAAGUUCUAGGGAUUUUGGAUUAAUUUUCUUCCAUUGUGUACAAUGCUGUCUUGAUUAAAAGUUCCCACCCCACUGUGAACAACACCAGGAGAUUUCAUGAAUCGUACCUUUCUCAAGAGUCUCACUGAAGUACGUGUAUGGCUCAAGUGCUUCCAAAUCACCAAUUACAUUUUUUAUUUAUUUAACUCUUGAUGUCCAGGGUAUGUAUUGCACUCGGGGAUGCAGGACUGCGGGGAAGCUAAGAAUGUGUUUUUAAAGUCAUAUUGCUGGGAUGCUGGAUUGAAAUGUGGUAUCUCACACUUUCUAAGUGUGUGACAUCAGGCCAAUUCCUCCUCUCUGUCCUCAGUUUAUUUGUUAAACGGGACUGAGAAUAAAAAUCUCAUUCACUAUUGUAAAAAUUAAGAUUCAGGUUUUGCCUGCAAAAUUCUAAGCGUAUGUGGCAUUGGUUAGUGGUUAGUGAAUACUACCUAUUAUUAGUUCUUAAACAUGUGGAAAGGGUAAAGAAAAUGCUAAAAGCAACUUAUCACAAGUGGUUUUUUACAACUGGACUCACUCGUUAAAAACACGACCUUACUUUUCAAGAAGGUUCUACUGAAUUUAGAAUUGAAUUUUCAAUAAGGUUCUAUUGAAUUUAGCUGAAGUUGUUUUGAAGACUUGAGUUUUGAACUGGAUUCUGAGUUGUCCUGAUUGGGCUGGUCGAGGUGGUAGUAGUUUGCUUUGGGGCUUGGUAAUGUGGGGCAUGAGGAGUAACUAAUUGUGACCCCUCCCCAUCACUAUGACCUAGCCUUUCAACAGAACAGAUAACUCAUCAAAAUGACUUCUCUUAGAUACCCUGCAGCUGCAGCUCGAGAACACCUCUGCCUACUACACCUACCUCCUCCUCCUCCUCAAGAGUACCCUCUACUUCGCCACCGUCCUCUCCUGUCUGUUUAGGAGAACAGUCUGCAGCAGUGGGAAGACCUCCUGACAGAUGAUGCCACCAAGGGCUCAACUUCGCUUCAGCAUCAUUGUCUCUACAAGUGUCUGCUGAGGAUCUAGCAGCACUUCCUUUCUGGGUUUGGCUUCCUUCAGAGAAUGUGUACAUCUUUGUAUUAGGUCAACAUUGUGUAGGUUUUUUCAAACCACUGGGCAAACAGACCCUUGCACUGCAUAACAAGGAAUUCUGCCAUGACUCGGGGCAGGGCUGAGGGCUGGUCCCCGGGAGCCUUUCCCACCACUGUCCCUCAGUGUCAUCAGCUCCUCCAGCUGCCUGAGUCCUCUUGCCUCGUGAGCACACACAGCACAGCACACAGCUCCCCGUCUCCUCCCUCAGGGCUCCACCCAGACCACAGCCCUGACCUUCCCUGUACACAUCUGGAGCUCCCAGCUUUGCUGCUUCAAUUCUGUUCUCUGAUUUUCAUAAUAGGCACAAUCAAUUAAAAAGAUAUCCAAACUC